AGGAGCCGUAUGAGAUGAAAAUCUCACGUACGGUUCUGGAGCGGAGAUUCUUUGAACCGAAUGACGACCGUAAC
Non-coding RNA from Glycine max (soybean), 74 nucleotides. NCBI's taxonomy places the organism in Eukaryota, Viridiplantae, Streptophyta, Magnoliopsida, Fabales, Fabaceae. The record is from Rfam.